GAUAAACGCUGGCGGCGCACAUAAGACAUGCAAGUCGAACGGAAGUCGUUUUACUGAAUUUGAAAUGAAAGAUUUAUCCGGAUUUGAGAACGAUUUAAAACAAUGGCUUUAGUGGCGGACUGGUGAGUAACACGUAAGCAACCUGCCUAUUAGAGGGGAAUAACAGCGAGAAAUCGUUGCUAAUACCGCAUAUGCCAUAUGAACCACAUGGUUCAAGUGGGAAAGGAGCAAAUCCGCUAAUAGAUGGGCUUGCGUCUGAUUAGAUAGUUGUGGGUAACGGCUACCAAGUCGACGAUCAGUAGCCGGACUGAGGUAGUCAACGCCAUAGUGGACUGAGAGUACCGGCCA
Molecule: ribosomal RNA, 348 nt
Filed under: uncultured bacterium
Lineage: Bacteria
Description: bacterial SSU rRNA
Rfam family: Bacterial small subunit ribosomal RNA
Source: RNAcentral